Molecule: ribosomal RNA, 395 nt
Filed under: uncultured bacterium
Lineage: Bacteria
Description: partial 16S ribosomal RNA
Rfam family: Bacterial small subunit ribosomal RNA
Source: RNAcentral
CCUACGGGUGGCAGCAGUGAGGAAUAUUGGUCAAUGGCCGGAAGCCUGAACCAGCCAAGCCGCGUGAGGGAGGAAGGCCCAGCGCGUCGUAAACCUCUUUUGCCAGGGGACAAAGUGCCGGACUCGUCCGCUCCUGUGUGUACCUGACGAAAAAGCAUCGGCUAACUCCGUGCCAGCAGCCGCGGUAAUACGGAGGAUGCGAGCGUUAUCCGGAUUUAUUGGGUUUAAAGGGUGCGCAGGCGGUCAGUUAAGCCGGCGGUAAAAUCCCGGGGCUCAACCCCGCCCAGCCGUUGAGACUGGGGGUCUUGAGUGCGGGGGAGGUAGGCGGAAUGCGCGGUGUAGCGGUGAAAUGCAUAGAUAUCGCGCAGAACUCCGAUUGCGAAGGCAGCGUGCCG